Molecule: ribosomal RNA, 773 nt
Filed under: uncultured bacterium
Lineage: Bacteria
Description: bacterial SSU rRNA
Rfam family: Bacterial small subunit ribosomal RNA
Source: RNAcentral
AGAGUUUGAUCAUGGCUCAGGACGAACGCUGGCGGCGUGCUUAACACAUGCAAGUCGAACGGAAAGGCCCUUCGGGGUACUCGAGUGGCGAACGGGUGAGUAACACGUGGGUGAUCUGCCCUGCACUUUGGGAUAAGCCUGGGAAACUGGGUCUAAUACCGAAUAUGACCAUGCACUUCCUGGUGUGUGGUGGAAAGCUUUUGCGGUGUGGGAUGGGCCCGCGGCCUAUCAGCUUGUUGGUGGGGUAAUGGCCUACCAAGGCGACGACGGGUAGCCGGCCUGAGAGGGUGACCGGCCACACUGGGACUGAGAUACGGCCCAGACUCCUACGGGAGGCAGCAGUGGGGAAUAUUGCACAAUGGGCGCAAGCCUGAUGCAGCGACGCCGCGUGAGGGAUGACGGCCUUCGGAUUGUAAACCUCUUUCAGCACAGACGAAGCGCAAGUGACGGUAUGUGCAGAAGAAGGACCGGCCAACUACGUGCCAGCAGCCGCGGUAAUACGUAGGGUCCGAGCGUUGUCCGGAAUUACUGGGCGUAAAGAGCUCGUAGGUGGUUUGUCGCGUUGUUCGUGAAAACUCACAGCUUAACUGUGGGCGUGCGGGCGAUACGGGCAGACUAGAGUACUGCAGGGGAGACUGGAAUUCCUGGUGUAGCGGUGGAAUGCGCAGAUAUCAGGAGGAACACCGGUGGCGAAGGCGGGUCUCUGGGCAGUAACUGACGCUGAGGAGCGAAAGCGUGGGGAGCGAACAGGAUUAGAUACCCCGGUAGUCCAA